Molecule: unclassified non-coding RNA, 209 nt
Filed under: fungal sp.
Lineage: Eukaryota; Fungi
Description: partial internal transcribed spacer region
Rfam family: Eukaryotic small subunit ribosomal RNA (bases 1-46)
Source: RNAcentral
AAGUCGUAACAAGGUUUCCGUAGGUGAACCUGCGGAAGGAUCAUUACUGAAUGAUUUUAUAUCUUAUUUUGUGAAUUUGAGUUCCUAGGAACUUUUUGCUUCGGCCUUAGUACUAGUGACCAAGGCCGGUAGAAAACUCUUUAAACCUUUAGUCUAAACUUGAUUAUUUUAAUUAAUUAAAACUUUCAACAACGGAUCUCUAGGUUCUC